CUUACCGAUUGGAUUUAUCCGAAGAGUUAUCAGAUUUCCAUGACGUGUUUCAUGUUUCAGUUUUGAGGAAAGUCGUGAGAGAACCAGAGCUCAUUUUGCAGCAGCCGCCCAGUGACCUUGGUAGGAAUUUGCGUGCGCCGUGUCAGCCAGUAGAGCUAUUGGAUCGCCAAGUGAGAGCAGAUGAUGGUAUGAUGACUAUGUUGGUCAAAGUUCGUUGGGAGAGAGAUGGUAUUCAGGAGGAGACUUGGGAGUCCGAGCCCCAGAUGAGGAUUGAUUAUCCGGAGCUUUUCCGGGACAUUGGGCAUGUCAGCUUAUAAAUUGAAUUCGGGGACGAAUUCCUUGUAAGUGGGGGAGAAUUGUAAUGACCCCAAACUAUCCCCAAAGGCAUUUUUGUUGUCUGUUUUUUUCGUAAAAGCAAAGAGAGAGAGAGAGAGAGAGAGAGAGAGAGAGAGAGAGAGAGAGAGAGAGAGAGAGAGAGAGAGAGAGAGAGAGAGAGAGAGAGAGAGAGAGAGAGAGAGAGAGAGAGAGUGAGAGAGAGAGAGAGAGAGAGAGAGAAAGCUCACCAGGAGUCCUCGCCGGAGCCACCGCACGCCAGGACGUCGUCAAGCUCGUCAUCACCAUCAACCGCAGCUCGAGGUAACCGGAAACCGCCAUGUGUUUGAGUUAUGUUUCGGUCGUUUUAGUAAAUCGGUAAUAACUUUCUAACCGUAGUGAAUCUCGUGCAUCCAAGGCCAUCAUCGUGUUCCUCUCGUCAAGACGAAGCCGUAGACACCAACCGAGUCACGAUCGGAGCCCGGACGAAGCCGUACGCGCUUCCGGAAGUUUCACCUCCGCGCGCGCGUGAGUUCCACGCGCCGCCGCCGGACCACCGUCCUCCGCCGCAGCGCCGCCGCCGGACCACCGUUCUCCGCCGCAGCUCCGCCGUCGCCGCCGGCCAACUUACCGGUAAGCCGCCGCCGUAGCUCCGCCGUCGCCGCCGAUGACCGACACCGGUGACUCGCCGGCGACUCGCCAACUCGGCCGAGUCGACCCGGUGAGUCAACUCGGUUGACUCGGUUAACCGGUGGUUUGACCGGUUUAAAUCGAUUUCGAUUCGGUUAGGUUAAACCGGUCGGUUAAAAUCAAUUGGUAAUCGGUUAGGAAAAAUCGGAUUAAUUAAUUAAUUAAUCAAUUAAUUAAUUAAUUAAAUAAUUGAUCUUUGACCAGCGGGUUGACUUUUCCGUAAAUACCCGUUUUAAACCGUUCGAAAGGCGUUCUGACUCGAAAUUUCGAUCUGAUUUCAGAUUUGGAGUCCAUUUGAGCAGCUGGAGUUCAUAUAUACCACUUCUCUUCAUUGCUAAGGUGAGGGCUACUCCGUUAAAUCCCGAGCUAGUUUAGUACUACCGUUAUGGAAAGUUUAGUUUCGAAACAUGAUCCGUCUCUGUGAAUCGAGUCUGUUUGAGAGUCUUGCUUUUUUAUUAUUAUUUAUUGAUUGUUAAACCGGAAAUAGGAUAAUAGAGGAUUCAACGGUUGAUUGAAAUGAUUGAUGUUAAGAAUUGUUAUAUAUAUGUAUAUAUAUACGAGUCCAUGUUUUGGAGAUUUGCGGGGUGCAGAGACGUUUGCACUGGCUGCCUAUGUUUGAGGAGUUUUGCGGGGUGCAGAGACGUUUGCACUGGCUGCCAUGUUUGUGGAGAUUUGCGGGGGUACAGAGACGUUUGUACUUACGACGCCUUAGAGAUUUGCGGGGUGCAGUGUGGACUACUGUGCUAGCGACGCCUGUAAAGUAUAUAUAUCCUUAUGAGGAAAUGUGAUAUGCUAUUAUCGCAUUGGUUGUAUCAUGUCUAGUCCACUAGACAUAUGUGAUUGUUCUGUGUGGUGUAAUAGGCACCGUGAUUGUCUCAUGCUAGAGCUAUGCCUACAUAGUUGUAGUGCUAUGAACUGAGUCAGUGGUUUGCGGUUUAGCAUCCCAUACCUCACUGGGCGAUUCCCCUGUCGCUCACCCCUCCUUAUUUCCCCCUUUCAGGUGAGACCGACGAGCAGGAGUGAUUAUCGGACUGGUGCUAUUGGGCUUUUGGGCUUCUAUCGUUUUAUCGCUUUUAUCGUUAUCGGGCCUCCAGGCCUUUGGACUUUUAUCGCCUACGUUAUUCCUAUUUCAGACUUUUGGUUUAUAUUGUAUUUUAUAUUUCGGAUGUUAUCGAUGUUGGGCUUUUAGGCCUUUUGUUACCGUAUCGACUAUUAUAUUAUAUGAAGAUUAUUUUAUUUUCGCUUUUAUCAAUUUAUUUUAUUUUGAAAGUGGCGGGUGUCACAGAUUUUCAAGAAAAUUAUUCUUGACAAAUGAUUGAUAGCGAGCAAUGUUGGAAACAUGGUCAAACCCGCUCCACAACAGAUUAAAUCAUUUUUGAUUCAAAAAUCCGAUCUGCAUAUCACGUAAAGCAAAAAUAGUUGAUCUAUUUAUUCGGUUUAAACGGUUUUAGACGAUUUCAAAAUAUUUUGGGGAUUUGGGAGUUUUGAAAAUGAAAAUAAAUCGCACCUUUCCGUUCGGUAUCACUACUUCUUAAAUGUUGGUAUCCAGAGAUCGGCAUAAGUUAACUUUUUCGCUUUUCCUUCAGAUGGCGCCCAGGAAGAGAGUUGUUCGUACUCAGACUCCCAGAGUUGCUAGAGAGGUUGAAGAUGAGCAUGUCCAGCCCGCAGUUCAGCAGCAGGCGGCUCCGCCUCUUGAUCAGGAUGCUUUGAGACAGAUGGUUCAGGAUGUGGCUAGGCAGGCUGCACAGGAGACAGUCCAGCAAGCUGCCCAGGAGGCUGCCCGAAUAGCUGCUCAGGAGGUUGCCAGACAGAUGGCUGCAGUACAGCAGGGUCCGCAGAUUCGCAUGCAGCAGGCUCCACCAGUUCAGGUUCAGCAUUAUCAUCAGGUUCCACAUCAGCCGGCUCCAGUCCAGCAGUACCCUCAGGUUCCUGUUCAGCCGGUUCCAGGAGUUUUUCAGGUUCCACCGCCGCCACCUGCUUUCCCAGUUCAGGUGCCCGAGGUUGAUGAGACAUUUAUCAGGGUGUUGGGACAGAUGAAGUAUGUGAGUUUGGAGCAUUUCACUGGAACAACGGAACCUACAGUUGCUCACGAUUGGAAGCAUAAUUUGGAUAAGUGUUUGAAGACCAUCUCGUGCCCACCAAGACUCAAGCUAAACAUCGCUGAGUUGUAUUUGCGCGGAGAUGCAUCAAUCUGGUGGGAUGGAGUGAGAUUGAUGCACCGUGGCGAGCUGACAUAUGAUGAUUUUCUUUACGCGUUCAACAAGAAGUAUUUUCCGAGGGAAGCUUUGCAUGAGAAGAAGAAUGAUUUCGAGCAUUUGAGGCAGGGUGCAAAGUCUGUCAGGGAGUAUGAGCGGGAGUUUAACCAGCUCCGCAGAUUUGUGGGUAACAACAUAGAUGAAGAGGAUUUGAUCAGGAGGUUCUUAGAUGGGAUGCGAGUAGAGCUUCGUGGUAGGUGCAGUGUGGUUACCUACACCAGUUUGGAGGAUCUGGUAGAGAAGGCGGCUGUGCAGGAGAAAUGUAUGGGUGAGGAGCAGAAGUUCUCCAAAGCAGUUCAGCCUAAGGCAGGAGGGGCUUCGGGGUCGCAGAAGAGGCCUUGGGAGCAGACUGGAGCACCCCGUUGUGGGCGUUGUCGUCGCCACCAUUUUGGGGAAUGUUUCCAGUGCUAUAAUUGCGAUCAGUUUGGGCAUCUUGCGAAGAACUGUAGGAAGCCACCACGAACUCAGGUUGCAACACCAGCAGCAGCAGUAGCACCAGCAGUGGCAGCGAGGAACUGUUACGGCUGCAACCAGCCGGGUCACAUCUACAGAGAUUGUCCGAGGAGAGGCAAUGCAGCGCUUCCACCACCACCGAAGCGUCCAGCCAUCGCUCCACGGGUCUUUGCAAUUGGAGAUCCCCAGGGAGCUGAGCCGAUAGCGGGUAUGUGACUUUUUCAUAAUUGUUGUGUUUGAGUAAUUUGGUUUGUGGAUGCCAUGUGUAGUUAGCAAAAUCUUGUGUAGGAUCGGUUUCGGUUGGAGGAAAGUCAGCUCACACCUUAUUCGACACGGGAGCCUCUCAUAGUUUUGUGAGUCCGCGCUUAGUCCAGUCUUGGUCUUUUCGGGGAGUCUUUGAACCGAAGACUAAGCAGAUCCAGACUGUCGGCACGGAGAAGUUGGGUGCAGUUGGCAUUUAUCACGAUGUACCAGUUCUACUUGGAGGAGUCGAGUUGCUCGGAGAUUUGACGGAGAUAGAGAUGAGCUCCUACGAUGUUAUACUUGGGAUGGAUUGGCUGUCGCGACAUCGAGUAAUCUUGGAUUGUCCGAAGGCAAGAGUUAAUAUCCCUAGAGAAGAAGGAAAGAUCAUUUGCGAGGGAAUUCAGACACACCGGGAAAUUCUUAUCGUAUCCAUGUUGCGUGCAGAAGAAUUAUUGGAAAGUGGAGCAGAGGGAUUUUUGGCAACAAUUUCGAUGGCUAAGGAGGAUGGUCAGCAGAAGCUGCAUGAUAUAUCAGUGGUCGCCGAGUACGAGGAUGUUUUUGAGCCUUUAAAAGGGCCACCACCAGCUAGAGCGGACGUUCUUACAAUAGAAGUAGAGCCAGGAGCAGCACCAAUUUCACGAGCUCCAUACCGUCUCGCACCAACUGAGAUGGCAGAGUUAAAGAAACAAUUGGAGGAGCUAUCUGAUAAGGGGUUUAUCAGGCCAAGCACGUCACCGUGGGGAGCACCAGUAUUGUUUGUGAAGAAGAAAGAUGGGAGUUUCAGACUUUGUAUAGAUUACAGAGGUUUGAACAAAGUGACCAUCAAGAAUAAGUACCCGCUCCCGCGUAUCGACGAGUUGUUGGACCAGUUGCAGGGAGCUUCAUGGUUCUCUAAGAUUGACUUGGCAUCGGGAUACCACCAGAUUGCAAUAGCUGAGGGAGAUGUGCGGAAGACGGCAUUCCGUACCCGUUAUGGACAUUACGAGUUUGUGGUGAUGCCAUUUGGGUUGACGAACGCACCAGCCGCGUUCAUGAAGCUUAUGAAUGAUGUAUUUCGUGAGCACUUGGAUAAGUGUGUGAUCGUUUUCAUAGAUGACAUCUUGGUUUACUCUCGGAGUAGAGGAGAGCAUGCUGAACAUUUGCGGAUUGUGUUGGGUAAGCUUCGGGAACAUCAGUUAUUUGCCAAGCUGAGCAAGUGUAGCUUUUGGCAGAAGAAGAUUGGAUUUUUGGGUCACGUGGUUUCAGAAGCGGGAGUUGCCGUAGAUCAGGAGAAGAUUAGCGCCAUUUCAGAGUGGCCGACACCUAAGAAUGCGACGGAGAUCCGCAGUUUUCUCGGUUUGGCAGGAUACUACAGAAAGUAUGUCAACAAUUUUGCUAGCAUUGCAAAGCCAAUGACACGACUAACAGGAAAAGACACCGAGUUUGAUUGGACAGAGGAAUGUUCGGGGAGUUUCACUGAGUUGAAGCGACAACUGACCCAUGCGCCAGUUUUGGUACUCCCGAGGCCAGGGAUACCAUAUGAUGUUUACACAGAUGCGUCAGGCACCGGAUUGGGAUGUGUACUGAUGCAGGAAGGUCAGGUCAUUGCCUAUGCAUCACGACAGUUGAGGCCUCACGAGGCCAAUUAUCCUACUCAUGAUUUGGAGUUGGCAGCAGUUGUAUUUGCAUUAAAAAUCUGGAGGUCAUACUUGUAUGGAGAGAAGGUGAAGAUUUUCACGGACCACCAGAGUCUGAAGUACAUAUUUACGCAAACGGACUUGAAUUUGAGGCAGCGUAGAUGGAUGGAGUUGUUAGCAGACUACAAUUUGGAGAUCACAUAUCACCCGGGAAAAGCCAAUCAUGUGGCGGAUGCCUUGAGUAGGCGCAGAAGCGAUAUAUCGGGAACCAAAGAGGUCCAGGAGCUUACUGGGACACUUGCUAGUCUAAGAUUAUGUGCAGUUACUGUAGAGGGAGAGGCAGUUGGCCUCGAGGCUGUGGAGCAAGCAGAUUUGUUAUGGAAAGUGCGUAAGGCUCAGGAUGCAGAUAAGGCUUUGUGUAAGCAGAUCGAGAUUGAGAGUAUUGGAUAUCAUACAGCUUCGAGUGGGAUGUUCAUGUAUCGGAACCGGGUUUGUGUGCCUAAUGAUGAGUUGUUAAGAAAGGAGAUCUUACGGCAAGCACACAACUCGAGUUUCUCUAUUCAUCCAGGAAAUACCAAGAUGUACAGAGAUCUGAAGCGCUAUUAUCAUUGGCCUGGCAUAAAGAGGGAUGUUGCUUCAUUUAUAUCGCAGUGUCAGACGUGUCAGAUGGUCAAGGCCGAGCAUCAGGUGCCUAGCGGGUUAUUGCAGAACCUGCCAUUGCCAGAGUGGAAAUGGGACAUGGUAACUAUGGAUUUUGUGACGGGGUUGCCAACCACCUUAGGAGGAAAGAAUGCCAUCUGGGUAAUCGUGGAUAGACUUACCAAGUCAGCCCAUUUUCUAGCUAUUAAGAAGACGGACAGAGCUGAUCAGUUAGCACAGAGUUACAUCAACGAGAUUGUGAGAUUGCAUGGAGUUCCUGUCAGCAUUGUAUCAGAUCGAGAUACAAAGUUUACGUCUGACUUUUGGAGAGCCUUCCAGAAGGCGCUUGGGACGAAAGUGCAUAUGAGUACGGCGUAUCACCCGCAGACAGACGGUCAGUCAGAGAGGACGAUUCAGACUUUGGAGGAUAUGCUUAGAGCUUGUGUUUUGGAUUGGGAAGGGAGUUGGGCAAAGUACCUACCCCUAGCGGAGUUUGCCUACAAUAAUAGUUAUCACUCGAGCAUUAAGAUGGCGCCAUAUGAGGCCCUUUAUGGUAGGCCUUGUCGCACACCGCUUUGUUGGACCGAAGUGGGGGAGCGACGUGAGAUAGAACCUGCAAUGGUUCAAGAGACAGUUGAGCAGGUUGAGAUGCUUAAGGUACGGCUUAGGGAAGCCCAUGACCGUCAGAAGAGUUAUGCAGAUAAGCGGCGUAAAGAUUUGGAGUUCCAGGUUGGCGACCUGGUAUACCUGAAAAUGAGGACAUUUCAGGGAGGAUCUAAGACUCGGAAGCUGAAGAAGCUUAAACCGAGAUAUAUGGGACCAUAUCCCAUUUUGGAGCGAAUUGGAGCAGUUGCUUACCGAUUGGAUUUAUCCGAAGAGUUAUCAGAUUUCCAUGACGUGUUUCAUGUUUCAGUUUUGAGGAAAGUCGUGAGAGAACCAGAGCUCAUUUUGCAGCAGCCGCCCAGUGACCUUGGUAGGAAUUUGCGUGCGCCGUGUCAGCCAGUAGAGCUAUUGGAUCGCCAAGUGAGAGCAGAUGAUGGUAUGAUGACUAUGUUGGUCAAAGUUCGUUGGGAGAGAGAUGGUAUUCAGGAGGAGACUUGGGAGUCCGAGCCCCAGAUGAGGAUUGAUUAUCCGGAGCUUUUCCGGGACAUUGGGCAUGUCAGCUUAUAAAUUGAAUUCGGGGACGAAUUCCUUGUAAGUGGGGGAGAAUUGUAAUGACC
Molecule: long non-coding RNA, 7428 nt
Filed under: Brassica napus (rape)
Lineage: Eukaryota; Viridiplantae; Streptophyta; Magnoliopsida; Brassicales; Brassicaceae
Description: long non-coding RNA (BNAP_LNC012294)
Source: RNAcentral